GGUUAAUAGGUUCAGUGGUAGAGUUCUUGCCUUCCAUGUGAGAGACCCAGGUUCGAUUCCUGGCCA
RNAcentral lists this transfer RNA (66 nucleotides) under Loxodonta africana (African savanna elephant). It matches the Rfam family "tRNA". From Rfam's summary of the family: Transfer RNA (tRNA) molecules are approximately 80 nucleotides in length. Their secondary structure includes four short double-helical elements and three loops (D, anti-codon, and T loops). The record is from Rfam by way of RNAcentral. Lineage: Eukaryota; Metazoa; Chordata; Mammalia; Proboscidea; Elephantidae.